CCUACGGGAGGCAGCAGUGGGGAAUAUUGCACAAUGGGGGGAACCCUGAUGCAGCGACGCCGCGUGAGUGAAGAAGUAUUUCGGUAUGUAAAGCUCUAUCAGCAGGGAGGAAAGUGACGGUACCUGACUAAGAAGCCCCUGCUAACUACGUGCCAGCAGCCGCGGGAAUACGUAGGGGGCAAGCGUUAUCCGGAUGUACUGGGUGGAAAGGGAGCGUAGACGGUUAUGCAAGUCUGAAGUGAAAGCCCCAGGCUCAACCAUGGGAUUGCUUUUGAAACUGUAAAACUGGAGUGCAGGAGAGGGAAGCGGAAUUCCUAGGGUAGCGGUGAAAUGCGUAGAUAUUAGGAGGAACACCAGAGGCGAAGGCGGC
This 370-nucleotide ribosomal RNA is filed under the name uncultured bacterium. Its description in RNAcentral is "partial 16S ribosomal RNA". It matches the Rfam family "Bacterial small subunit ribosomal RNA", at positions 338 to 725 of the family's 1533-position model. The record is from RNAcentral.